ACGGAGGUAUCCCCCGUUGUUCGGAAUUACUGGGCGUAAAGCGCACGUAGGCGGCUACUCAAGUCAGAGGUGAAACAUCAGGGCUCAACCCCGGAACUGCCUUUGAAACUAGGUAGCUAGAAUCUUGGAGAGGUCAGCGGAAUUCCGAGUGUAGAGGUGAAAUUCGUAGAUAUUCGGAAGAACACCAGUGGCGAAGGCGACUGACUGGACAAGUAUUGACGCUGAGGUGCGAAAGCGUGGGGAGCAAACAG
This 251-nucleotide ribosomal RNA is filed under the name uncultured prokaryote. RNAcentral describes it as "partial 16S rRNA". It matches the Rfam family "Bacterial small subunit ribosomal RNA", at positions 525 to 775 of the family's 1533-position model. The record is from RNAcentral.